UACAGAGACUGCAAGCGUUAUUCGGAUUCACUGGGCGUAAAGGGUGCGCAGGCGGUUAUGUGUGUUAGGUGUGAAAGCCCGAGGCUCAACCUCGGAAUUGCGCCUAAAACUACAUGACUAGAGUACCGGAGAGGAUAGCGGAAUUCACGGAGUAGCAGUGAAAUGCGUAGAUAUCGUGAAGAACACCAGCGGCGAAGGCGGCUAUCUGGAAGGUAACUGACGCUCAGGCACGAAAGCGUGGGGAGCAAAAGGG
Molecule: ribosomal RNA, 253 nt
Filed under: uncultured bacterium
Lineage: Bacteria
Description: partial 16S ribosomal RNA
Rfam family: Bacterial small subunit ribosomal RNA
Source: RNAcentral